GUGCCAGCAGCCCGGUAAUACGGAGGGUGCAAGCGUUGUUCGGAAUUAUUGGGCGUAAAGCGCGUGUAGGCGGUCUGUUAAGUCUGGUGUGAAAGCCCGGGGCUCAACCCCGGAAGUGCAUUGGAUACUGGCAGACUUGAGUACGGGAGAGGAAAGUGGAAUUCCGAGUGUAGGGGUGAAAUCCGUAGAUAUUCGGAGGAACACCAGUGGCGAAGGCGGCUUUCUGGACCGAUACUGACGCUGAGACGCGAAAGCGUGGGGAGCAAACAGGAUUAGAUACCCUGGUAGUCCACGCCGUAAACGAUGGGUACUAGGUGUCGCGGGUAUUGACCCCUGCGGUGCCGAAGCUAACGCAUUAAGUACCCCGCCUGGGGAGUACGGCCGCAAGGCUAAAACUUAAAUGAAUUGACGG
This 412-nucleotide ribosomal RNA is filed under the name uncultured bacterium. Its description in RNAcentral is "bacterial SSU rRNA". It matches the Rfam family "Bacterial small subunit ribosomal RNA", at positions 505 to 916 of the family's 1533-position model. The record is from RNAcentral.